GCACUUCGGGAUAAGCCUGGGAAACUGGGUCUAAUACCGAAUAGGACCAUUUAGCGCAUGCUUUAUGGUGGAAAGCUUUUGCGGUGUGGGAUGGGCCCGCGGCCUAUCAGCUUGUUGGUGGGGUGACGGCCUACCAAGGCGACGACGGGUAGCCGGCCUGAGAGGGUGUCCGGCCACACUGGGACUGAGAUACGGCCCAGACUCCUACGGGAGGCAGCAGUGGGGAAUAUUGCACAAUGGGCGCAAGCCUGAUGCAGCGACGCCGCGUGGGGGAUGACGGCCUUCGGGUUGUAAACCUCUUUCAGCAGGGACGAAGCGCAAGUGACGGUACCUGCAGAAGAAGCACCGGCCAACUACGUGCCAGCAGCCGCGGUAAUACGUANGGUGCGAGCGUUGUCCGGAAUUACUGGGCGUAAAGAGCUCGUAGGUGGUUUGUCGCGUUGUUCGUGAAAACUCACAGCUCAACUGUGGGCGUGCGGGCGAUACGGGCAGACUGGAGUACUGCAGGGGAGACUGGAAUUCCUGGUGUAGCGGUGG
Molecule: ribosomal RNA, 537 nt
Filed under: uncultured Mycobacterium sp.
Lineage: Bacteria; Bacillati; Actinomycetota; Actinomycetes; Mycobacteriales; Mycobacteriaceae
Description: bacterial SSU rRNA
Rfam family: Bacterial small subunit ribosomal RNA
Source: RNAcentral